RNAcentral lists this ribosomal RNA (253 nucleotides) under uncultured bacterium. Its description in RNAcentral is "partial 16S ribosomal RNA". It matches the Rfam family "Archaeal small subunit ribosomal RNA", at positions 474 to 727 of the family's 1478-position model. The record is from RNAcentral.
UACCCGCAGCACAAGUGGUGGUCAUUAUUAUUGGGCCUAAAGCGUCCGUAGCUGGCUUGUUAGAUGCCUGGGUAAAUCGAUGCGCUCAACGUAUCGAACUCCGGGUAGACCGGCAAGCUUGGGACCGGGAGAGGCGUGAGCUACUCGGGGGGUAGGGGUAAAAUCCUGUAAUCCUCCGGGGAGGACCAGUGGCGAAGGCGUCACGCUAGAACGGCUCCGACAGUGAGAGACGAAGCCCUGGGGCGCAAACCGG